Molecule: ribosomal RNA, 468 nt
Filed under: uncultured bacterium
Lineage: Bacteria
Description: partial 16S ribosomal RNA
Rfam family: Bacterial small subunit ribosomal RNA
Source: RNAcentral
GACGAACGCCGGCGGCGUGCUUAACACAUGCAAGUCGAACGGAAAGGCCCUGCUUUUGUGGGGUGCUCGAGUGGCGAACGGGUGAGUAACACGUGAGUAACCUGCCCUUGACUUUGGGAUAACUUCAGGAAACUGGGGCUAAUACCGGAUAGGAGCUCCUGCUGCAUGGUGGGGGUUGGAAAGUUUCGGCGGUUGGGGAUGGACUCGCGGCUUAUCAGCUUGUUGGUGGGGUAGUGGCUUACCAAGGCUUUGACGGGUAGCCGGCCUGAGAGGGUGACCGGCCACAUUGGGACUGAGAUACGGCCCAGACCCCUACGGGAGGCAGCAGUGGGGAAUAUUGCACAAUGGGCGGAAGCCUGAUGCAGCAACGCCGCGUGCGGGAUGACGGCCUUCGGGUUGUAAACCGCUUUCGCCUGUGACGAAGCGUGAGUGACGGUAAUGGGUAAAGAAGCACCGGCUAACUACGUG